RNAcentral lists this ribosomal RNA (400 nucleotides) under uncultured bacterium. Its description in RNAcentral is "bacterial SSU rRNA". It matches the Rfam family "Bacterial small subunit ribosomal RNA", at positions 32 to 414 of the family's 1533-position model. The record is from RNAcentral.
AAUCAACGCUGGCGGCGUGCCUAACACAUGCAAGUCGAACGCGAAAGCCCCUUCGGGGGUAAGUAGAGUGGCGUCCGGGUGAGUAACACGUAGGUAAUCUGCCUUCGGGUGGGGAAUAACCAGUCGAAAGAUUGGCUAAUACCGCAUAAUGCAGCGGCACCUAAUGGUGAUUAGUUGUUAAAGCGGGGGAUCGUAAGACCUCGCGCCUGAAGAGGAGCCUGCGGCAGAUUAGCUAGUGGUGAGGUAAUGGCUCACCAAGGCUUCGAUCUGUAGCUGGUCUGAGAGGACGGCCAGCCACACUGGCACUGACACACGGGCCAGACUCCUACGGAGGCAGCAGUGGGGAAUUUUGGGCAAUGGGCGAAAGCCUGACCCAGCAACGCCGCGUGAGGGAGGAAAU